GUAGGUGGCAAGCGUUGUCCGGAAUUAUUGGGCGUAAAGCGCGCGCAGGUGGGAUAUUAAGUCUGGUGUUAAAGUUCGGGGCUCAACCCCGUGAAGCAUUUGGAAACUGAUAUUCUUGAGUGCAGGAGAGGAAAGUGGAAUUCCUAGUGUAGCGGUGAAAUGCGUAGAUAUUAGGAGGAACACCAGUGGCGAAGGCGACUUUCUGGACUGUGUCUGACACUGAGGCGCGAAAGCCAGGGUAGUGAACGGGAUUAGAUACCCCGGUAAUCCUGGCCGUAAACGAUGGGUACUAGGUGUUGGGGGUAUCGACCCCUCCAGUGCCGGAGUUAACGCAAUAAGUACCCCGCCUGGGGAGUACGGCCGCAAGGUUG
RNAcentral lists this ribosomal RNA (371 nucleotides) under uncultured bacterium. RNAcentral describes it as "bacterial SSU rRNA". It matches the Rfam family "Bacterial small subunit ribosomal RNA", at positions 527 to 896 of the family's 1533-position model. The record is from RNAcentral.